Molecule: transfer RNA, 84 nt
Filed under: Lentimicrobiaceae bacterium
Lineage: Bacteria; Pseudomonadati; Bacteroidota; Bacteroidia; Bacteroidales; Lentimicrobiaceae
Description: tRNA-Leu
Rfam family: tRNA
About the family: Transfer RNA (tRNA) molecules are approximately 80 nucleotides in length. Their secondary structure includes four short double-helical elements and three loops (D, anti-codon, and T loops).
Source: RNAcentral
GCCCGGGUGGUGGAAUGGUAGACACGAAGGACUUAAAAUCCUUUGGCCAAUGCGGCCGUGCGGGUUCAAAUCCCGCUCCGGGUA